GCUGAGCGAAUCCACGCUGCUCAGACUCCCAACUCUCAACUCCCCACAAGGCUUAGGAGCAGACCCGAACGCUGACUCGCUGACCCGAGCCCUGCCGCCAGGACGAGACCCAGAGCUGCCGGGACCCGAAGCCCGCGUCUGGUGCGUCGAAUGCCAGCUGACUCGCCACCUGAACGAUCUGAGGAGCCAACCCGGAAGUAAACCGGAAGUGACGCCAGAGACGUGGGAGCCGGAGCCUGCGAAGCGGAGACAGGCCCCAUCAUCGGGCACCAAACUGUUGCAGCUGCCUGCAACUGCAUGCGAUCAGGUCUUCUGGAAGAGGAGAAGGAGCCUAAAAGAAUAAAAGAAACUGGACUGCC
Molecule: long non-coding RNA, 359 nt
Organism: Mastomys coucha (southern multimammate mouse)
Lineage: Eukaryota; Metazoa; Chordata; Mammalia; Rodentia; Muridae
Exons: 2
Source: RefSeq, a predicted model, not a curated record